CCUACGGGAGGCAGCAGUGAGGAAUAUUGGUCAAUGGACGAGAGUCUGAACCAGCCAAGUAGCGUGAAGGAUGACUGCCCUAUGGGUUGUAAACUUCUUUUAUACGGGAAUAAAGUUCAGCAUGUGUGCCUUUUUGCAUGUACCUUAUGAAUAAGGAUCGGCUAACUCCGUGCCAGCAGCCGCGGUAAUACGGAGGAUCCGAGCGUUAUCCGGAUUUAUUGGGUUUAAAGGGAGCGUAGGCGGGUGGUUAAGUCAGUUGUGAAAGUUUGCGGCUCAACCGUAAAAUUGCAGUUGAUACUGGAUGUCUUGAGUGCAGUUGAGGUAGGCGGAAUUCGUGGUGUAGCGGUGAAAUGCUUAGAUAUCACGAAGAACCCCGAUUGCGAAGGCAGCUUACUGAACUGUAACUGACGCUGAUGCUCGAAAGUGUGGGUAUCAAACAGGAUUAGAUACCCUUGUAGUC
Molecule: ribosomal RNA, 460 nt
Filed under: uncultured bacterium
Lineage: Bacteria
Description: partial 16S ribosomal RNA
Rfam family: Bacterial small subunit ribosomal RNA
Source: RNAcentral